GACGAACGCUGGCGGCGUGCCUAAUACAUGCAAGUCGAGCGAACGGACGAGAAGCUUGCUCCUCUGGUGUUAGCGGCGGACGGGUGAGUAACACGUGGAUAACCUACCUAUAAGACGGGGAUAACUUUGGGAAACGGAUGCUAAUACCGGAUAAUAUUUUGAACCACAUGGUUCAAGAGUGAAAGACGGUCUUGCUUUCACUAAAGGAUAUAUCCGGGCUGAAUUGGUUAGUUGGGAGGUAAACGGCUUACAAAGGCAAGGUAGCUUAGCGGACCUAAAGGGGUGUCCGGCCACAUUGGAACUGGGCACGGGUCCAGACUCCUACGGGAGGAAGCGGUAGGGAAUCUUGCGCAAUGGGGGAAAGCCGGCCGGAGCACCGCCGCGUGAGUGAUGAAGGUCUUCGGAUCGUAAACCUCUGUUAUUAGGGAAGAACAUAUGUGUAAGUAACUGUGCACAUAUUGACGGUACCUACUCAGAAAGCCACGGCUAACUACGUG
RNAcentral lists this ribosomal RNA (497 nucleotides) under uncultured bacterium. RNAcentral's name for it is "partial 16S ribosomal RNA". It matches the Rfam family "Bacterial small subunit ribosomal RNA", at positions 28 to 507 of the family's 1533-position model. The record is from RNAcentral.